Molecule: ribosomal RNA, 434 nt
Filed under: Acanthamoeba genotype T4
Lineage: Eukaryota; Discosea; Longamoebia; Acanthamoebidae
Description: SSU rRNA
Rfam family: Eukaryotic small subunit ribosomal RNA
Source: RNAcentral
GGGGUUAAGCAGGCAGAUUCAUUUUCUGCCACCGAAUACAUUAGCAUGGGAUAAUGGAAUAGGACCCUGUCCUCCUAUUUUCAGUUGGUUUUGGCAGCGCGAGGACUAGGGUAAUGAUUAAUAGGGAUAGUUGGGGGCAUUAAUAUUUAAUUGUCAGAGGUGAAAUUCUUGGAUUUAUGAAAGAUUAACUUCUGCGAAAGCAUCUGCCAAGGAUGUUUUCAUUAAUCAAGAACGAAAGUUAGGGGAUCGAAGACGAUCAGAUACCGUCGUAGUCUUAACCAUAAACGAUGCCGACCAGCGAUUAGGAGACGUUGAAUACAAAACACCACCAUCGGCGCGGUCGUCCUUGGCGCGUUCGUGUUCACGCACGGGCGCGCGAGGGCGGUUUAGCCCGGUGGCACCGGUGAAUGACUCCCCUAGCGCCUUUGUGAGAA